GCCGGUGCAGUGCCACGUGCCUGUAGUUGCAGCUACUCAGGAGGCUGAGGUGGGAGGAUUGCUCGAGCCCAGGAGUUCUGGGCUGUAGUGUGCUAAUGCUUAGUGCAGACACUAAGUUCAGCAUCAAUAUGGCGACCUUCUGGGAGUGGGGGACCACCAGGUUGCCUCAGGAGGAGUGAACCGGCCCGGUCAGAAACUCCCAUUCUGAUCAGUAGCAGGAUCGUGCCUGUGAAUAGCCACUGCACUCCAGCAUGGGCAAUAUAGCGAGACCCUGUCCCC
RNAcentral lists this signal recognition particle RNA (279 nucleotides) under Cebus imitator (Panamanian white-faced capuchin). RNAcentral's name for it is "Metazoan signal recognition particle RNA (ENSCCAG00000007305.1)". It matches the Rfam family "Metazoan signal recognition particle RNA". Rfam says of the family: The signal recognition particle (SRP) is a universally conserved ribonucleoprotein. It is involved in the co-translational targeting of proteins to membranes. The record is from RNAcentral. Lineage: Eukaryota; Metazoa; Chordata; Mammalia; Primates; Cebidae.